RNAcentral lists this ribosomal RNA (1146 nucleotides) under uncultured bacterium. RNAcentral describes it as "bacterial SSU rRNA". It matches the Rfam family "Bacterial small subunit ribosomal RNA", at positions 238 to 1377 of the family's 1533-position model. The record is from RNAcentral.
CUAUCAGCUUCGUUGGUGAGGUAAUGGCUUACCAAGGCGACGACGGGUAGCCGGCUCUGAGAGGGUCGACCGGCUCACACUGGGAACUGAGACACGGCCCAGAACUCCUACGGGAGGCAGCAGUGGGGAAAUAUUUGCACAAUGGGCGCAAGCCUGAUGCAGCCACCCUCCCGUGAGGGAUGACGGCCUUCGGGUUUGUAAACCUCUGUUAGCAUCGAAGAAACCAAAGUUGACGGUAGGUGCAGAAAAAGCGCCGGCUAACUACGUGCCAGCAGCCGCGGUAAUACGUAGGGCGCGAGCGUUGUCCGGAAUUUAUUGGGCGUAAAGAGCUUGUAGGCGGUUGGUCGCGUCUGCUGUGAAAGGCUGGGGCUUAACCCUGGUUUUGCAGUGGGUACGGGCUAACUAGAGUGCAGUAGGGGAGACUGGAAUUCCUGGUGUAGCGGUGGAAUGCGCAGAUAUCAGGAGGAACACCGAUGGCGAAGGCAGGUCUCUGGGCUGUAACUGACGCUGAGAAGCGAAAGCAUGGGGAGCGAACAGGAUUAGAUACCCUGGUAGUCCAUGCCGUAAACGUUGGGCACUAGGUGUGGGGGACAUUCCACGCUUUCCGCGCCGUAGCUAACGCAUUAAGUGCCCCGCCUGGGGAGUACGGCCGCAAGGCUAAAACUCAAAGAAAUUGACGGGGGCCCGCACAAGCGGCGGAGCAUGCGGAUUAAUUCGAUGCAACGCGAAGAACCUUACCAAGGCUUGACAUAUACUGGACUGCGUCAGAGAUGGCGUUUCCCUUCGGGGCUGGUAUACAGGUGGUGCAUGGUUGUCGUCAGCUCGUGUCGUGAGAUGUUGGGUUAAGUCCCGCAACGAGCGCAACCCUCGUUCUAUGUUGCCAGCACGUGAUGGUGGGGACUCAUAGGAGACUGCCGGGGUCAACUCGGAGGAAGGUGGGGAUGACGUCAAAUCAUCAUGCCCCUUAUGUCUUGGGCUUCACGCAUGCUACAAUGGCCGGUACAGAGGGUUGCGAUACUGUGAGGUGGAGCUAAUCCCUAAAAGCCGGUCUCAGUUCGGAUUGGGGUCUGCGAACUCGACCCCUUGAAGUCGGAGUCGCUAGUGAAUCGCUGAUUCAGCAAACGCUGCGGUAAAUACGUUUCCCGG